UGUAAGCGUAUACCAAAGUUGUUGCAGUUAAAACGCUCGUAGUCGGAAUUUGGCAGUUCCGGAUGUGUGCACGUCGUGUGCGCACUUCGCGGGGAUUGCUUUUGUGGUCUUGCGUAGGAUGAGGCACUUUUAUUAGUGAAAGUCCUCACGCAACCACUUUUUACUGUGAGAAAAUCAGAGUGCUCAAAGCAGGCAUUUGCCGUGAAUGUAUUAGCAUGGAAUAAUAGAAUAGGACUUGGUUCUAUUUUGUUGGUUUGUUGGGACUGAGUAAUGAUUAAGAGGGACAGUUGGGGGCAUUUGUAUUUCGGUGCUAGAGGUGAAAUUCUUAGAUUACCGAAAGACAAACUGCUGCGAAAGCGUCUGCCAAGGAUGUUUUCAUUGA
This 382-nucleotide ribosomal RNA is filed under the name uncultured eukaryote. RNAcentral describes it as "partial 18S ribosomal RNA". It matches the Rfam family "Eukaryotic small subunit ribosomal RNA", at positions 592 to 976 of the family's 1831-position model. The record is from RNAcentral.